This 399-nucleotide ribosomal RNA is filed under the name uncultured bacterium. RNAcentral describes it as "partial 16S ribosomal RNA". It matches the Rfam family "Bacterial small subunit ribosomal RNA", at positions 338 to 734 of the family's 1533-position model. The record is from RNAcentral.
CCUACGGGUGACAGCAGUGAGGAAUAUUGGUCAAUGGGCGCGAGCCUGAACCAGCCAAGUAGCGUGAAGGAUGACUGCCCUACGGGUUGUAAACUUCUUUUAUAAAGGAAUACAGUGAGGCACGUGUGUCUUUUUGUAUGUACUUUAUGAUUACGGAUCGGCGAACCUCGCGCCAGCAGCCGCGGUAAUACGGUGGAUCCGAGCGUUAUCCGGACUUAUUGGGUUUAAAGGGUGCAUAGGGGGAUUUAUAAGUUAGAGGUGAAAUGUCCGGGCUUAACUCGGGAACUGCCUCUAAUACUAUUGAUCUAGAGAGAAGAAGCGGUAGGCGGAAUGUAAGGUGUAGCGGUGAAAUGCGUAGAGAUCAUACAGAACACCGAUUGCGAAGGCAGCUUACCGAUC